This 224-nucleotide ribosomal RNA is filed under the name uncultured bacterium. Its description in RNAcentral is "partial 16S ribosomal RNA". It matches the Rfam family "Bacterial small subunit ribosomal RNA", at positions 28 to 251 of the family's 1533-position model. The record is from RNAcentral.
GACGAACGCUGGCGGCGUGCUUAACACAUGCAAGUCGAGCGACUGCAUUCUUUUCGGAGGGUGUAUGGAGCGGCGAACGGGUGAGUAACACGUGAGUAAUCUGCCUUUGGCUUGGGAAUAACUUCGGGAAAUCGGGGCUAAUGCCUGAUGUUUACUGUCUGCUGCAUGGUGGGUGGUGGAAAGAUUUUUUGGCAGGAGUGAGCUCGCGGUCUAUCAGCUUGUGG